RNAcentral lists this ribosomal RNA (253 nucleotides) under uncultured bacterium. RNAcentral describes it as "partial 16S ribosomal RNA". It matches the Rfam family "Bacterial small subunit ribosomal RNA", at positions 524 to 776 of the family's 1533-position model. The record is from RNAcentral.
UACGUAGGGUGCAAGCGUUAAUCGGAAUUACUGGGCGUAAAGCGUGCGCAGGCGGUUCGUUAUGUCCGAUGUGAAAGCCCCGAGCUCAACUUGGGAAUGGCAUUGGAAACUGGCGGGCUGGAGUGUGGCAGAGGGGGGUGGAAUUCCACGUGUAGCAGCGAAAUGCGUAGAGAUGUGGAGGAACACCGAUGGCGAAGGCAGCCCCCUGGGCCAACACUGACGCUCAGGCACGAAAGCGUGGGGAGCAAACAGG